RNAcentral lists this ribosomal RNA (742 nucleotides) under uncultured bacterium. Its description in RNAcentral is "bacterial SSU rRNA". It matches the Rfam family "Bacterial small subunit ribosomal RNA", at positions 8 to 796 of the family's 1533-position model. The record is from RNAcentral.
AGAGUUUGAUCAUGGCUCAGACUGAACGCUGGCGGCAUGGCUAAAGCAUGCAAGUCGAACGAGCCCGCAAGGGCAAGUGGCGGACGGGUUAGUAAUACGAUCGAACGUACCCCGAAGUGGGGGAUAGCGGCGGGAAACUGCCGGUAAUACCCCAUGUGCUCUUCGGAGGAAAGAUUUAUCGCUUUGGGAUCGGCGAUCGUCCUAUCAGCUAGUUGGCGGGGUAAAGGCCCACCAAGGCGAAGACGGGUAGCAGGUGUGAGAGCACGACCUGCAACAUCGGAACUGAGAUACUGUCCGGACUCCUACGGGAGGCUGCAGCAACGAAUCUUCCGCAAUGGGCGCAAGCCUGACGGAGCUAUGCCGCGUGUGGGAUGAAGUGCCUCCGGCAUGUAAACCACUGUCAGAAGAUAGAAACACUGAUCAUCUUCAAAGGAAGUGGCGACUAACUCUGUGCCAGCAGUCGCGGUAAUACAGAGGCCACGAGCGUUAGUCGGAAUUACUGGGCUUAAAGGGUGCGUAGGCGGUUAUUCAAGCGUCCUGUGAAAGCCUCCCGCUCAACGGGAGAACAGCAGGGCGAACUGGGUGACUCGAGGUUGGUAGGGGCUCACAGAACAGUCGGUGGACCGGUGAAAUGGGUAGAGAUCGACUGGAAUGCCGAUGGCGAAGGCGGUGAGCUGGGCCAAAUCUGACGCUGAGGCACGAAAGCGUGGGGAGCAAACAGGAUUAGAUACCCCGGUAGUCC